CUUCUGAGCUACAUAAUGACUUUAUCACUGUAAUUAAAACCAGGAUUUCUGAAACCUCCAAGUAAUCUUUUAAAGUUUUCCAAUAUGGACAUAAAUUAACCCCUAUUCUUAUCUACAUAUCGAAUUUGAAAUAACUGUUGCAAUAUAUCAACAUUUUCACAGGAAGAAUUUUAAGGCUUCUGGCACAUAAAAUGUGCAAAAUCUGUGUGACAAUAAUGUUAUAAUUAUAUACAGAAAAUAUUUAAAAUUCUCCUUGAGCAACUUAAGUUCUAAAGAUUAAAAAACUUUUAAGUGUCCAUGUUAAUAAAAUAUUAAAACACUAUGAGCUUUUUGAUAAACUUGACACUGAUUUUGUAAUUACAUAAAGAAUGUGCAAGAUAAGACCUGCAGACUAAGUGAUUCAUCAUUGAAAUUAAAUGUUAAACUGAAUAUACUUAUUGAUAUCAUUAGUUUUUUAGAUCAAACUUUCAGUGCAAACAGGCUUUAAUAUAACUUAAAAACAUUUCCAAUUAAACUGCAACGUUGAGGCAGCAAAUGUCAGAUCUAUAUUUGCCUAGCUAUUUAGGUGUCACAUAAAUAAGUCUAUGAAUCCUAAUUUAUACUUUUGUCUAAGUCGCCAUUGUAGAUAAUGUUUUAAUAAGUGGAAAAUAAGUGAAAUCAACAAAAAAUGACUAUUUCUCACUAUUUAACACCUUGUCUUAAAGUUCUGAACCAGCAUAUUCAGUUCUUAAGGCAAAAAAAGGCCAAACUUAUUAUUAUAAAUUAUAAAUUUUGGUAAUUUUUUUUUGCAUGAAAAGUCACAGCACAAAUUCCUAUGCUUUAAUAGAUAAUAUAUUAGAGUGUAUCUCAAUAUACAUUUGCUAACAUUCUCCAUCAGUAUGAAGUUGGGCGGGGCUAUUUUUCAUUUCCUGGGGCAAAACCUUCCACUGAAACCGUAGGUAAGGCUGUU
This 949-nucleotide long non-coding RNA is filed under the name Capra hircus (goat). RNAcentral describes it as "lncRNA (ENSCHIG00010027285.1)". Lineage: Eukaryota; Metazoa; Chordata; Mammalia; Artiodactyla; Bovidae. The record is from RNAcentral.